RNAcentral lists this ribosomal RNA (194 nucleotides) under uncultured bacterium. Its description in RNAcentral is "partial 16S ribosomal RNA". It matches the Rfam family "Bacterial small subunit ribosomal RNA", at positions 1306 to 1500 of the family's 1533-position model. The record is from RNAcentral.
UGAAAUUCGCCUUCAUGAAGCCGGAAUUGCUAGUAAUGGCAGGUCAGCAUACUGCCGUGAAUACGUUCCCGGGCCUUGUACACACCGCCCGUCACACCAUGAGAGUUGGGAAUACCCGAAGCCUGUGAGCUAACUAAUAGAGGCAGCAGUCGAAGGUAGAAUCAAUGAUUGGGGUGAAGUCGUAACAAGGUACC